UACGGAAGGCAGCAGUAGGGAAUAUUGGGCAAUGGCCGAGAGGCUGACCCAGCCAUGCCGCGUGCAGGAUGAAGGCUUUUCUGAGUCGUAAACUGCUUUUGCCAGGGAAGAAAAAGGGCGUGCGCGCUCUACUGACGGUACCUGGUGAAUAAGCACCGGCUAACUCCGUGCCAGCAGCCGCGGUAAUACGGAGGGUGCAAGCGUUGUCCGGAUUUAUUGGGUUUAAAGGGUGCGUAGGCGGCCGUUUUAAGUCUGGGGUGAAAGCCCGUUGCUCAACAACGGAACUGCCCUGGAAACUGGAUGGCUUGAGUACAGACGAGGGUGGCGGAAUGGAUGCUGUAGCGGUGAAAUGCAUAGAUAGCAUCCAGAACCCCGAUUGCGAAGGCAGCUGCCUAGACUGUAACUGACGCUGAGGCACGAAAGCGUGGGGAGCGAACAGGGAUUAGAAUAACCC
RNAcentral lists this ribosomal RNA (454 nucleotides) under uncultured bacterium. RNAcentral's name for it is "bacterial SSU rRNA". It matches the Rfam family "Bacterial small subunit ribosomal RNA", at positions 340 to 788 of the family's 1533-position model. The record is from RNAcentral.